GCAAAACGCGAAGAACCUUACCCACCUUUGACAUGUACGGAAUCCUUUAGAGAUAGAGGAGUGCUCGAAAGAGAGCCGUAACACAGGUGCUGCAUGGCUGUCGUCAGCUCGUGUCGUGAGAUGUUGGGUUAAGUCCCGCAACGAGCGCAACCCUUGCCAUUAGUUGCUACAUUUAGUUGAGCACUCUAAUGGGACUGCCGGUGACAAACCGGAGGAAGGUGGGGAUGACGUCAAGUCCUCAUGGCCCUUAUAGGUGGGGCUACACACGUCAUACAAUGGCUGGUACAAAGGGGUUGCCAACCCGCGAGGGGGAGCUAAUCCCAUAAAGCCAGUCGUAGUCCGGAUCGCAGUCUGCAACUCGACUGCGUGAAGUCGGAAUCGCUAGUAAUCGUGGAUCAGAAUGUCACGGUGAAUACGUUCCCGGGUCUUGUACACACCG
Molecule: ribosomal RNA, 439 nt
Filed under: uncultured bacterium
Lineage: Bacteria
Description: bacterial SSU rRNA
Rfam family: Bacterial small subunit ribosomal RNA
Source: RNAcentral